RNAcentral lists this unclassified non-coding RNA (666 nucleotides) under Hevea brasiliensis (rubber tree). Lineage: Eukaryota; Viridiplantae; Streptophyta; Magnoliopsida; Malpighiales; Euphorbiaceae. The record is from RNAcentral.
CAGAGAAGGUUUAGCCCGCAAGUAUGUCCUCACUCUUGACACUGAAUUUGCAACUGAAUAUUAAUAUGAAUGGAAUGGAAAAUUGUCUGAUUACCUUUGAAUGUGAAUGGAAGAUAGCUGAAAAUUAUGUUUUUUGCUGAAUCCCCAUGCGGCCAUGCCUACCAUGCUUUUCAAAUGAGUUGAUGGGAGAUGAGACUGUUUCUUAUUCUUACACUGUCGUACUCCAAUUCAUUGUUUUUUACAAGUGUUUUAAGUUCAUUAACUAGCUUUGCUUAAUAGCCAGUUAAGUCUCUUAAUAAAAUACUAGAUACACGAAAUCAAAUGUUAACUGAAUAGGAUAGUGUAGGCUUGCAAUGAUCAAACGGAUAAAUAGACUUCAAAGAAAUAUGUGGAUUGAAGAAUCAGAGAGCAACUUAAGCAGUAUGCCAAUGAGAUUUUUGGUGUCACAUAAUGGAAUAGGUUAGACAUACGUAAGUUAUUGAUUGGAUGGGUGAGCUAUGUUCCUGCAAAAUGUUACUCAAGGGUGUAAUCAUCACCAGUAGAUCUGUUUCUCUUUUAUCUAAUGUAUCUUUUCAUUGUUAAAUAAUUUCAACUUUUCCCGACAGAUACAUAAACCCUCAACCAGAGUGGUCAGUCUUCCGCGAGGCAAGUUUUGGUCAUGGAGAG